GCGGCCGUUGUAUAACGGUAUUACCCUAGCUUCCCAAGCUCGUGACGCGGGUUCGACUCCCGUCGGCCGCU
RNAcentral lists this transfer RNA (71 nucleotides) under Treponema sp. RNAcentral describes it as "tRNA-Gly". It matches the Rfam family "tRNA". Rfam says of the family: Transfer RNA (tRNA) molecules are approximately 80 nucleotides in length. Their secondary structure includes four short double-helical elements and three loops (D, anti-codon, and T loops). Lineage: Bacteria; Pseudomonadati; Spirochaetota; Spirochaetia; Treponematales; Treponemataceae. The record is from RNAcentral.